GAUGAAGAACGUAGCGAAAUGCGAUAAGUAAUGCGAAUUGCAGAAUCCGUGAGUCAUCGAAUCUUUGAACGCACAUUGCGCCCUCUGGUAUUCCGGAGGGCAUGCCUGUCCGAGCGUCAUUGCUGCCCUCAAGCACGGCUUGUGUGUUGGGCCUCCGUCCUCCUCCCGGGGGACGGGCCCGAAAGGCAGCGGCGGCACCGCGUCCGGUCCUCGAGCGUAUGGGGCUUCGUCACCCGCUCUUGUAGGCCCGGCCGGCGCUUGCCGACACAUCAAUCUUUUUUCCAGGUUGACCUCGGAUCAGGUAGGGAUACCCGCUGAACUUAAGCAUAUCAAUAAGCGGAGGA
This 344-nucleotide unclassified non-coding RNA is filed under the name soil metagenome. RNAcentral's name for it is "partial contains 5.8S ribosomal RNA, internal transcribed spacer 2, and large subunit ribosomal RNA". The stretch from base 1 to 119 matches the Rfam family "5.8S ribosomal RNA", at positions 35 to 154 of the family's 154-position model. The record is from RNAcentral.